Molecule: ribosomal RNA, 496 nt
Filed under: uncultured bacterium
Lineage: Bacteria
Description: partial 16S ribosomal RNA
Rfam family: Bacterial small subunit ribosomal RNA
Source: RNAcentral
AUGAACGCUGGCGGCGUGCCUAAUACAUGCAAGUCGAGCGAACGGACGAGAAGCUUGCUUCUCUGAUGUUAGCGGCGGACGGGUGAGUAACACGUGGAUAACCUACCUAUAAGACUGGGAUAACUUCGGGAAACCGGAGCUAAUACCGGAUAAUAUUUUGAACCGCAUGGUUCAAAAGUGAAAGACGGUCUUGCUGUCACUUAUAGAUGGAUCCGCGCUGCAUUAGCUAGUUGGUAAGGUAACGGCUUACCAAGGCAACGAUGCAUAGCCGACCUGAGAGGGCGAUCGGCCACACUGGAACUGAGACACGGUCCAGACUCCUACGGGAGGCAGCAGUAGGGAAUCUUCCGCAAUGGGCGAAAGCCUGACGGAGCAACGCCGCGUGAGUGAUGAAGGUCUUCGGAUCGUAAAACUCUGUUAUUAGGGAAGAACAUAUGUGUAAGUAACUGUGCACAUCUUGACGGUACCUAAUCAGAAAGCCACGGCUAACUACGUG